AUUUUUAUACGCGCCAAUCUCCGCUCCGUCCUCUGAUUAUAUUAUAUCCCUCCCUCUCCCAAAUACAACAAACACCCCUUUCAUGAACAUAGAAUCAAGAUUCUUCUGCUCCUAUUUGGUUAAUCCCGUGAAUAGUCCUCCUAUGUCACAAACCGCUCCUUCAACCCCAUUAUUAUAUGCAGCUGCUGUUGGCAGCGGUCUCAGCUUUAGCUGCAGCAGCAACACCGCCAGCAGCAGCAGCGAGGUUAGUGAUGAUAGCCCACCAAGAUCCUUCCGUUUUGACCUUCAAGAUGUCGAUUAUCAUCAUUAUCCAAGCAAAUCUUUAUCUGGGUCUUACUCGUAUCGCUCUCUCGCAGUACUCUCUGACCAUGUAGGAUCUGUUUCUUGCUUGGCUUUGUGUGGUGAAUUCGUCUUGAGCGCUUCACAAGGGAAGGAUAUUAUAGUUUGGCAACAGCCUGAUUUGAGGCUCUUCACGAAGUUUGGACAAGGGGAUGGUUCUGUCAAGGCUUUAGUAACAGUUGGGAACAAGGUCUUUACUGCACAUCAAGAUAGCAGGAUUAGAGUAUGGAAGGUGUCAAGAAGCUCAGAGAAUGUGUUUAGGCUUGUGGACGCACUUCCAACCACAAAGGACUAUUUAGGGAAGUUCUUGAAGCAGAGUAAUUAUGUGCAAACUAGGCGGCACCAUAAGAAAUUAUGGAUUGAACAUGCAGAUAGUAUUUCUUGUUUGACAGUUUCCAGUGGGUUUAUUUACUCUGGUUCUUGGGAUAAGACUCUUAAGGUUUGGCGGAUAUCAGACUUGAAGUGCUUGGAAUCAAUUAAGGCUCAUGACGAUGCUAUAAAUGGAUUGGUGGCUUGUAAAGGGAUUGUUUAUUCAGCAUCAGCAGAUGGGAAGAUAAAAGCUUGGGGGAAAGAGGGAAAGAACUCUCAUUCUUUGAAGGGGAUUUUGGAGGGUCAUAAAGAUAUUUCUUUUAAUUCAGUUAUUGUUUCAGAAGAUGGGAGAUGGGUAUAUGGAGGGGGCUCUGAUGGGUUUGUGAUGGGGUGGGAAGGGAGUGGUGAUUUUAUAAGUUGGAAGUUGGUGUCAGAGACAUUGGCACAUCAAAUGGCAGUUUUGUGUAUGUGCUUAGUGGGGGAGUUUUUGUGCAGUGGAUCAGCUGAUAAGAGCAUUAGUAUAUGGAAGAGAGAAGCUUAUGGUAAGCUCUGUAAAUAUGGGGUCAUAAGUGGCCAUGAAGGGCCAGUCAAGUGUUUGCAAGCAUCACCUAAUAGUGUUGGUGGUGGGUUCUUGCUCUAUAGUGGUGGCCUUGACAAAAGUGUGAGGGUAUGGUGGGUGCCCAAGCAUUCCAACAAGAUGCAAGACACCUCUACAAUGCAGAGUUCAGAGGAAAAAUCCAUCACCAUGUGUUAGUAAGAUUUUCAAGUUUUGAAAGAUGGAGCACUGAUUCCUUUUUUUAUGCGUUUUCAGUGCUUCUAAUUUGUUGUUUUAGUCAGAUUGUGUCAUAGUUAUUGAUUAAGAUCUCAAGUGUGAUGAGCAUAGGCAAAACUGCAGAGUUAAAGAAAAGAGUUGGGUAUUUUUCUUUUUACAGAUUUUGAUCAAUUUCCUUAUGUUGUUUUAGGGUUUAAGAUUUGGGUGUAUCAUAUCUUGUAGGGAAAAAGGCUUGAGGUAUACAAUUAAUAGAGUGGUGUGAGUUUUUUUUUCUUUCUUUCUAGUUUUACUUUUUACAUUUCUGAUAAUUGUAAUUAGUGUGUUGAGGAUAUAUAACAAUCAAUGAAAUUUAAUUUUGUAU
RNAcentral lists this unclassified non-coding RNA (1781 nucleotides) under Hevea brasiliensis (rubber tree). The record is from RNAcentral. Lineage: Eukaryota; Viridiplantae; Streptophyta; Magnoliopsida; Malpighiales; Euphorbiaceae.